RNAcentral lists this ribosomal RNA (503 nucleotides) under uncultured bacterium. Its description in RNAcentral is "partial 16S ribosomal RNA". It matches the Rfam family "Bacterial small subunit ribosomal RNA", at positions 30 to 523 of the family's 1533-position model. The record is from RNAcentral.
AUUGAACGCUGGCGGCAGGCUUAACACAUGCAAGUCGAGCGGGGUGAUGGUGCUUGCACUAUCACUUAGCGGCGGACGGGUGAGUAACGCUUAGGAAUCUGCCUAUUAGUGGGGGACAACAUCUCGAAAGGGAUGCUAAUACCGCAUACGUCCUACGGGAGAAAGCAGGGGGUCACUUGUGACCUUGCGCUAAUAGAUGAGCCUAAGUCGGAUUAGCUAGUUGGUGGGGUAAAGGCCUACCAAGGCGACGAUCUGUAGCGGGUCUGAGAGGAUGAUCCGCCACACUGGGACUGAGACACGGCCCAGACUCCUACGGGAGGCAGCAGUGGGGAAUAUUGGACAAUGGGGGGAACCCUGAUCCAGCCAUGCCGCGUGUGUGAAGAAGGCCUUAUGGUUGUAAAGCACUUUAAGCGAGGAGGAGGCUCUUUUGGUUAAUACCCAAGAUGAGUGGACGUUACUCGCAGAAUAAGCACCGGCUAACUCUGUGCCAGCCGCCGCAGUAA